This 364-nucleotide long non-coding RNA is filed under the name Ananas comosus (pineapple). RNAcentral's name for it is "long non-coding RNA (ACOM_LNC018202)". The record is from RNAcentral. Lineage: Eukaryota; Viridiplantae; Streptophyta; Magnoliopsida; Poales; Bromeliaceae.
ACAUGAUGAAUUAUUCUAUGCUCUUGUUGAAUGUAUGUAGUGUGUGUGUGUGUGUGUGUGUGUGUGUGUGUGUGUAGAGUGAGGCUGCUAUACUAUCGGAAGUACGGAGUCUUUCGUGCUUUCAGCUCGUUUUCGAUGUUGCGACUUUCGAAUCGUCGAUCGGCUCCGUUAAACUUGAUCUAGAGUAUUUGGAGUACCUAGAAAAUAAAUUUUAUUAUUUUUUGAUAUCAUUUGCCUAGUGAUCGAAUGAGCUCAAAAUCAACAAAUUUCAAUGGCCGUAGUGAGCCGUUUGCAAGUUUAACAGUGUAGAAAUAUCCAAAUCACGUGAAAUUUUGAUAGAAAAUUCUUUAUACUAUAUAAAACA